RNAcentral lists this unclassified non-coding RNA (343 nucleotides) under soil metagenome. RNAcentral describes it as "partial contains 5.8S ribosomal RNA, internal transcribed spacer 2, and large subunit ribosomal RNA". The stretch from base 1 to 120 matches the Rfam family "5.8S ribosomal RNA", at positions 35 to 154 of the family's 154-position model. The record is from RNAcentral.
GAUGAAGAACGCAGCGAAAUGCGAUAAGUAAUGUGAAUUGCAGAAUUCAGUGAAUCAUCGAAUCUUUGAACGCACAUUGCGCCCGCCAGCAUUCUGGCGGGCAUGCCUGUUCGAGCGUCAUUUCAACCCUCGAGCCCCCCCGGGGGCCUCGGUGUUGGGGGACGGCACACCAGCCGCCCCCGAAAUGCAGUGGCGACCCCGCCGCAGCCUCCCCUGCGUAGUAGCACACACCUCGCACCGGAGCGCGGAGGCGGUCACGCCGUAAAACGCCCAACUUUCUUAGAGUUGACCUCGGAUCAGGUAGGAAUACCCGAUGAACUUAAGCAUAUCAAUAAGCGGAGGA